RNAcentral lists this ribosomal RNA (672 nucleotides) under Lactiplantibacillus pentosus. Its description in RNAcentral is "bacterial SSU rRNA". It matches the Rfam family "Bacterial small subunit ribosomal RNA", at positions 61 to 698 of the family's 1533-position model. Lineage: Bacteria; Bacillati; Bacillota; Bacilli; Lactobacillales; Lactobacillaceae. The record is from RNAcentral.
GUCGAACGAACUCUGGUAUUGAUUGGUGCUUGCAUCAUGAUUUACAUUUGAGUGAGUGGCGAACUGGUGAGUAACACGUGGGAAACCUGCCCAGAAGCGGGGGAUAACACCUGGAAACAGAUGCUAAUACCGCAUAACAACUUGGACCGCAUGGUCCGAGUUUGAAAGAUGGCUUCGGCUAUCACUUUUGGAUGGUCCCGCGGCGUAUUAGCUAGAUGGUGGGGUAACGGCUCACCAUGGCAAUGAUACGUAGCCGACCUGAGAGGGUAAUCGGCCACAUUGGGACUGAGACACGGCCCAAACUCCUACGGGAGGCAGCAGUAGGGAAUCUUCCACAAUGGACGAAAGUCUGAUGGAGCAACGCCGCGUGAGUGAAGAAGGGUUUCGGCUCGUAAAACUCUGUUGUUAAAGAAGAACAUAUCUGAGAGUAACUGUUCAGGUAUUGACGGUAUUUAACCAGAAAGCCACGGCUAACUACGUGCCAGCAGCCGCGGUAAUACGUAGGUGGCAAGCGUUGUCCGGAUUUAUUGGGCGUAAAGCGAGCGCAGGCGGUUUUUUAAGUCUGAUGUGAAAGCCUUCGGCUCAACCGAAGAAGUGCAUCGGAAACUGGGAAACUUGAGUGCAGAAGAGGACAGUGGAACUCCAUGUGUAGCGGUGAAAUGCGUAGAUAUA